RNAcentral lists this ribosomal RNA (431 nucleotides) under uncultured bacterium. RNAcentral describes it as "partial 16S ribosomal RNA". It matches the Rfam family "Bacterial small subunit ribosomal RNA", at positions 29 to 506 of the family's 1533-position model. The record is from RNAcentral.
GCGAACGCUGGCGGCAGGCCUAACACAUGCAAGUCGAACGAACUCUUCGGAGUUAGUGGCGGACGGGUGAGUAACACGUGGGAACGUGCCUUUAGGUUCGGAAUAACUCAGGGAAACUUGUGCUAAUACCGAAUGUGCCCUUCGGGGGAAAGAUUUAUCGCCUUUAGAGCGGCCCGCGUCUGAUUAGCUAGUUGGUGAGGUAAAGGCUCACCAAGGCGACGAUCAGUAGCUGGUCUGAGAGGAUGAUCAGCCACAUUGGGACUGAGACGCGGCCCAAACUCCUACGGGAGGCAGCAGUGGGGAAUCUUGCGCAAUGGGCGAAAGCCUGACGCAGCCAUGCCGCGUGAAUGAUGAAGGUCUUAGGAUUGUAAAAUUCUUUCACCGGGGACGAUAAUGACGGUACCCGGAGAAGAAGCCCCGGCUAACUUCGU